This 215-nucleotide ribosomal RNA is filed under the name Micrococcus sp. RC1. RNAcentral's name for it is "partial 16S ribosomal RNA". It matches the Rfam family "Bacterial small subunit ribosomal RNA", at positions 316 to 543 of the family's 1533-position model. Lineage: Bacteria; Bacillati; Actinomycetota; Actinomycetes; Micrococcales; Micrococcaceae. The record is from RNAcentral.
GGACUGAGACACGGCCCAGACUCCUACGGGAGGCAGCAGUGGGGAAUAUUGCACAAUGGGCGAAAGCCUGAUGCAGCGACGCCGCGUGAGGGAUGACGGCCUUCGGGUUGUAAACCUCUUUCAGUAGGGAAGAAGCGAAAGUGACGGUACCUGCAGAAGAAGCACCGGCUAACUACGUGCCAGCAGCCGCGGUAAUACGUAGGGUGCGAGCGUUA